This 313-nucleotide unclassified non-coding RNA is filed under the name Hevea brasiliensis (rubber tree). The record is from RNAcentral. Lineage: Eukaryota; Viridiplantae; Streptophyta; Magnoliopsida; Malpighiales; Euphorbiaceae.
UAGAGCUCAAAUCUUAUGCAAUAAAUGCUCAUGUUUUCUAAACAAUUUCUGUUAUAAUUGUGGCUUUUGAAUUUUGGAUAUGUUUUUCAUGGACCUGAAUUGUGACUUGAUCCGAAAGUUUUGCGUUGUGAUCCGAUUGGGAUAGAAAAUGAGAUUUGUGGUGGUAGCGGAGGGUACGGAUUGAUAGGUUCGGGCUUGAAGCCCAUUACUGAUCUCCUUAAGGGUGCUGGGGUAACGUCCCGCAGUAUAGACCAGUAUAAAUAUUGUAAUAUUCAACUUUUUGUGAUAUAGUUGUGAGAUAUUUGGGAAACAC